AGUGAACGCUGGCGGUAGGCCUAACACAUGCAAGUCGAACGGCAGCACAGUAAGAGCUUGCUCUUACGGGUGGCGAGUGGAGGACGGGUGAGGAAUACAUCGGAAUCUACUUUUUCGUGGGGGAUAACGUAGGGAAACUUACGCUAAUACCGCAUACGACCUACGGGUGAAAGCAGGGGAUCUUCGGACCUUGCGCGAUUGAAUGAGCCGAUGUCGGAUUAGCUAGUUGGCGGGGUAAAGGCCCACCAAGGCGACGAUCCGUAGCUGGUCGGAGAGGAUGAUCGGCCACACUGGAACUGAGACACGGACCAGACGCCUACGGGAGGGAGCAGUGGGGAAUAUUGGACAAUGGGCGCAAGCCUGAUCCAGCCAUACCGCGUGGGUGAAGGAGGCCUUCGGGUUGGAAAGCCCUUUUGUUGGGAAAGAAAAGCAGCAGGUUAAUACCCCGCUGUUCUGACGGUACCCAAAGAAUAAGCACCGGCUAACUUCGUG
This 492-nucleotide ribosomal RNA is filed under the name uncultured bacterium. Its description in RNAcentral is "partial 16S ribosomal RNA". It matches the Rfam family "Bacterial small subunit ribosomal RNA", at positions 29 to 507 of the family's 1533-position model. The record is from RNAcentral.